AUAGGGGACUUUAAUGAGAUUCUCUACUCUUCUGAAAAAGAAGGGGGAGCCCCUCGGUAUCAGUCAAGAAUGCAAGCGUUUCAGGAUGCUUUAUCAGACUGCUCCCUAGAAAAUAUUGGUUACGAAGGAGAUAAGUUUACUUGGUUUCGAGGAGGACUAAGAGAAAGACUAGACAGGGCGGUGUCUAACUAGUCAUGGGCGCAGAUGCAUCCUUGGGCAGGAUUGAUAAACCUGGAGAUGGGAAAAUCUGACCAUCGGCGAAUUUCUCUAGACACAAACCAUCUCUGUGAUGUCGCUGAUGGCCAGAGGAAGGAAAGAAGAUUUGAGGCACGUUGGUUAGUAGAAGAUACAAUGGAGGAAAUUGUCCGAACUGCAUGGCAAAAAGCAGUACACAAUGGCGUGUGUCCGAGCAUCCGAGACAAGCUUGAGCCUAUCCAUAAUGAUCUGCAUGUGUGGGAUCUGACGGUACUCAAAAGUUCAUGA
RNAcentral lists this ribosomal RNA (483 nucleotides) under Triticum aestivum (bread wheat). RNAcentral's name for it is "partial small subunit ribosomal RNA". Lineage: Eukaryota; Viridiplantae; Streptophyta; Magnoliopsida; Poales; Poaceae. The record is from RNAcentral.